AACGAGCGCUGGCGGCGUGCCUAACACAUGCAAGUCGUACGCGAAAGGGGGCAACCCCCGGUAGCGUGGCAGACGGGUGAGUAACACGUGGGUAACCUGCCCGGAGGUGGGGGAUAACCCUUCGAAAGGAGGGCUAAUACCGCAUAACGUCUUGAGAUCCUCGGAUUUCGAGACCAAAGUUGGCCUAUGCUUGCAAGCUAGCGCCACCGGAGGGGCCCGCGUCCCAUUAGCUAGUUGGUGAGGUAACGGCNCACCAAGGCGACGAUGGGUAGCCGGCCUGAGAGGGCGAUCGGCCACACUGGAACUGAGACACGGUCCAGACUCCUACGGGAGGCAGCAGUGAGGAAUCUUGCGCAAUGGGCGAAAGCCUGACGCAGCGACGCCGCGUGGAGGAUGAAGGUCUUCGGAUCGUAAACUCCUGUCGAGCGGGACGAA
Molecule: ribosomal RNA, 435 nt
Filed under: uncultured bacterium
Lineage: Bacteria
Description: bacterial SSU rRNA
Rfam family: Bacterial small subunit ribosomal RNA
Source: RNAcentral